RNAcentral lists this ribosomal RNA (433 nucleotides) under uncultured bacterium. Its description in RNAcentral is "partial 16S ribosomal RNA". It matches the Rfam family "Bacterial small subunit ribosomal RNA", at positions 29 to 507 of the family's 1533-position model. The record is from RNAcentral.
AACGAACGCUGGCGGCAUGCCUAACACAUGCAAGUCGAACGAGACCUUCGGGUCUAGUGGCGCACGGGUGCGUAACGCGUGGGAACCUGCCCUUAGGUUCGGAAUAACUCCCCGAAAGGGGUGCUAAUACCGGAUAAUGUCUUCGGACCAAAGAUUUAUCGCCUUUGGAUGGGCCCGCGUUGGAUUAGCUAGUUGGUAGGGUAAAAGCCCACCAAGGCGACGAUCCAUAGCUGGUCUGAGAGGAUGAUCAGCCACACUGGGACUGAGACACGGCCCAGACUCCUACGGGAGGAAGAAGUGGGGAAUAUUGGACAAGGGGCGAAAGGCUGAUCCAGCAAUGCCGCGGGAGUGAUGAAGGGCUUAGGGUUGUAAAGCUCUUUUACCCGGGAUGAUAAUGACAGUACCGGGAGAAUAAGCUCCGGCUAACUCCGUG